AGAGUUUGAUCCUGGCUCAGGAUGAACGCUGGCGGCGUGCUUAACACAUGCAAGUCGAACGAACCUUCGGGUUAGUGGCGGACGGGUGAGUAACGCGUGAGAAUCUGCCCUCAGGAGGGGGAUAACGGCUGGAAACGGCCGCUAAUACCCCAUAUGCCGCGAGGUGAAACGAAUUUCGCCUGAGGAUGAGCUCGCGUCUGAUUAGCUAGUUGGUGGGGUAAAGGCCUACCAAGGCUUCGAUCAGUAGCUGGUCUGAGAGGAUGAUCAGCCACACUGGGACUGAGACACGGCCCAGACUCCUACGGGAGGCAGCAGUGGGGAAUUUUCCGCAAUGGGCGAAAGCCUGACGGAGCAACGCCGCGUGAGGGAUGAAGGCCUCUGGGCUGUAAACCUCUUUUAUCAAGGAAGAAGAUCUGACGGUACUUGAUGAAUAAGCCACGGCUAAUUCCGUGCCAGCAGCCGCGGUAAUACGGGAGUGGCAAGCGUUAUCCGGAAUUAUUGGGCGUAAAGCGUCCGCAGGCGGUCUUUUAAGUCUGCUGUUAAAGCGUGGAGCUUAACUCCAUUUCGGCAGUGGAAACUGGAAGACUAGAGUGUGGUAGGGGCAGAGGGAAUUCCCGGUGUAGCGGUGAAAUGCGUAGAUAUCGGGAAGAACACCAGUGGCGAAGGCGCUCUGCUGGGCCAUAACUGACGCUCAUGGACGAAAGCCAGGGGAGCGAAAGGGAUUAGAUACCCCUGUAGUCCUGGCCGUAAACGAUGGAGUCCAGUCGUCGGGGCGCUUGGCGCUUCCCUAACGGAUUAAGCAUUCCGCCUGGGGAGUACGUACGCACGCAAAGUGUGAAAACUCAAAAGGAAUUGACGGGGGCCCGCACAAGCGGUGGAGUAUGUGGUUUAAUUCGAUGCAACGCGAAGAACCUUACCAGGGUUUGACUCCUGCGAAUCCCUUGGAAACGAGGGAGUGCCUUCGGGAACGCAGUGACAGGUGGUGCAUGGCUGUCGUCAGCUCGUGUCGUGAGAUGUUGGGUUAAGUCCCGCAACGAGCGCAACCCACGUCGUUAGUUGCCAGCAUUCAGUUGGGCACUCUAGCGAGACCGCCGGUGAUAAACCGGAGGAAGGUGUGGAUGACGUCAAGUCAUCAUGCCCCUUACAUCCUGGGCUACACACGUACUACAAUGCUACGGACAAAGGGCAGCAAACUCGCGAGAGCUAGCAAAUCCCAUAAACCGUGGCUCAGUUCAGAUCGUAGGCUGCAACUCACCUACGUGAAGGAGGAAUCGCUAGUAAUCGCAGGUCAGCAUACUGCGGUGAAUACGUUCCCGGGCCUUGUACACACCGCCCGUCACACCAUGGAAGUUGGCCACGCCCGAAGCCGUUACUCCAACCCUUGUGGAGGAGGAUGUCGAAGGUGGGGCUGAUGACUGGGGUGAAGUCGUAACAAGGUAGCCGUA
This 1445-nucleotide ribosomal RNA is filed under the name uncultured bacterium. RNAcentral's name for it is "bacterial SSU rRNA". It matches the Rfam family "Bacterial small subunit ribosomal RNA". The record is from RNAcentral.